Molecule: ribosomal RNA, 482 nt
Filed under: uncultured bacterium
Lineage: Bacteria
Description: bacterial SSU rRNA
Rfam family: Bacterial small subunit ribosomal RNA
Source: RNAcentral
UUAGAUACAGGUGCUGCAUGGCUGUCGUCAGCUCGUGUCGUGAGAUGUUGGGUUAAGUCCCGCAACGAGCGCAACCCUUUUCCUUAUUUGCCAGCGGGUCAUGCCGGGAACUUUAAGGAUACUGCCAGUGACAAACUGGAGGAAGGCGGGGACGACGUCAAGUCAUCAUGGCCCUUACGGCCAGGGCUACACACGUGCUACAAUGGUCGGUACAAAGGGUUGCUACCUCGCGAGAGGAUGCUAAUCUCAAAAAGCCGAUCGUAGUCCGGAUCGCAGUCUGCAACUCGACUGCGUGAAGUCGGAAUCGCUAGUAAUCGCGGAUCAGAAUGCCGCGGUGAAUACGUUCCCGGGCCUUGUACACACCGCCCGUCACACCAUGGGAGUUUGUUGCACCAGAAGUAGGUAGUCUAACCGCAAGGAGGACGCUUACCACGGUGUGGCCGAUGACUGGGGUGAAGUCGUAACAAGGUAGGCGUAGAUGA